CCGGGCGGAAGUGCGUGUGCUCUUCGGUUUCGGCCUGGGGGUUAGACGUCCGUGGAGAUGCCACCUCUCGUGUCCGAGGGUAGGUGCCCCCUGGGCUCCGGCUGGUCGCCGGCCCCCGGCCCAGAGCGCUACGCGGGCCCUUUGCUGCCAUCAGCGCCAGCCUGCGGCUUCGGGCCCCGCCCCGGGAUGGGAACGAAGCUCCGCCGAGGACGGGAGGCCCCUCCCCGGGGCCCGGGACUUCAGGGACCGCUCCCCGCAUAGCAGCUGGGGCUUGGACGGAGGAGGCCGAGGGAGCUUGGUCCCACGCAGGCACCAAAGUUGAGGGUGUGCUCGGAAAAUGAGAACGCGCCAGCCGCGGGCGACUGAGGGAAGGCAUGCAGCGAUUGUUUCCUCCUGCUCCUCGUGGAUGAGAACUUACCGAGUGACCUCAACUUGGGCGGAUCCAGGCGAGCUUACUGGAGGAUUUGUGUGUGCUGGAGGAAAACCUGCUGCCUUCAUUUCUGCCUGAUUCUCUGUGCCUGAAAUGUCAUUGUUUUGUUUUCGGACCUUCCAGGUUUGAUUGGUCUAAUCCUUAACCAUGUCAUUUUUGAAUGCAGACCCAUUUAAGACCCUGUUUGGAAUGAGUAUAAAUAAAAGGAGUCAGACGCCAA
Long non-coding RNA from Hipposideros armiger (great roundleaf bat), 650 nucleotides. RefSeq lists it as uncharacterized. The transcript has 3 exons. The record is from RefSeq and is a predicted model, not a curated record. Lineage: Eukaryota; Metazoa; Chordata; Mammalia; Chiroptera; Hipposideridae.